GGAGACUAGGUAUGCUGGGAUGAGUACUAAAGAAAAGCUCUUGUUUGGCUUAGGAAUAAGAAGAUCAGCAUUUCCUUUCAUGUAGAGAAGGUUUCUAAGGCCUACUUUCUGAUAUCUUCUUACAUAAUAUGGGAUAAUUGCAUCUUUUUAAAAAUAGACCUAAUGCCCUUUGCCUGGGGCUAAAAAGAAAGCCUUUUUGGAGGUGAAUUCGUUCUACUUUUUAAAUCUAUAUCAUAUAAGCUAAGAAUCUUUGCGAGAAGACAAGCUGGCAUGCACGUACUUUUUUCUUUUCCUGUUUUUUUGGAUGGAUGACCCAUCAAAACUUGCCAAAAAUAUAAUUGAAAUAUGCAUUUUCAUCUGAUGGAGGAGUCUAUAAAUUGUUGGGUAAUCUUUUAGAGUUUUCCAAAUCUGGCAGUCUGCUUCAUGCACCAAGAGAGAACAUUCAUGAAGAAAAUGUAUUCUUCACUAGUUACUCAAUGUGAACAAAGAGGCUUCUUCACCCAGCCAAGAACUCAGCUAUAUCCUGCAUACAAGUAAUAGCCAUUAGUAUGUAGAACAACACAGAUUUUUAUCAAAGAUGAAGUGAAACAUGUCAUGUUUGUGUUUGUGGAGGCACUGCCUCCACAAACUGACUAUGUGAGGUCAGUGAAGACAGUUCUCUGAGAUGAGGCCGAAGCUUAAGGUAGGCAGCCAUAAGGAUGGUGGGAAGUGUUAAGAACCCUGCCACUGUUGAGACCAAAUAGGAGUCUGGAUACGCGGAAGAAACCUGCAGGAGACCCAGGGGGAUGUUUGCAACAUAUGGGAAGAAGGAGCUGCCCAAGAAAGGUGGCGCCCUGCUGGGCACCUGUUCUUUAAGGAUAGAAGAGCAACCCCUGAACUAAGAUGUAGUACCUGGAGCUAUGCAGCUUUUCUGUGACCAUGAGGUGAUGGAUGAAGAUGCUGGAACUGACAUCAUGGAGCUGUUGAAGACACACCAAUAACAGUCUACAUUUUGACUUGUAUUGUUUUGUGUGGAAAAAACUAUUUUGUUCAAAUAUUGUAGUUGAAUGCUUUGUUACUUGCAGUUAAAUACAUUCCUAACAAGUAAAGGAGGGAUUAUAACUAUAAUCUUACUAUAACUGUCUAUAUAGCUACUAAUUGAAUAUAUUAUAUUUGAGAAAUAAUAAUUGUGGUAAUCUAACUUGUUAACCCAGUUUUCUCCAACAACAAUCUAAAUUGGUUUAAGAUGGGUCACUAAAUAACAUACAAUAUGGUAAAUAAUGAAAUAAGUAAAUGUCAAAUAGGUGAGCACGACAGAGAAUUAUUGAAAAUGUACUGUAUUUUAUUUCAGAAAUAAAAUUUACUCUGAGUUUUCA
This is a long non-coding RNA of Callithrix jacchus (white-tufted-ear marmoset), 1355 nucleotides long. RefSeq lists it as uncharacterized. The record is from RefSeq and is a predicted model, not a curated record. NCBI's taxonomy places the organism in Eukaryota, Metazoa, Chordata, Mammalia, Primates, Cebidae.